GACGAACGCUGGCGGCGUGCUUAACACAUGCAAGUCGAACGGAAAGGCCCUGCUUUUGUGGGGUGCUCGAGUGGCGAACGGGUGAGUAACACGUGAGUAACCUGCCCUUGACUUUGGGAUAACUUCAGGAAACUGGGGCUAAUACCGGAUAGGAGCUCCUGCUGCAUGGUGGGGGUUGGAAAGUUUCGGCGGUUGGGGAUGGACUCGCGGCUUAUCAGCUUGUUGGUGGGGUAGUGGCUUACCAAGGCUUUGACGGGUAGCCGGCCUGAGGGGGUGACCGGCCACAUUGGGACUUGAGAUACGGCCCAGACUCCUACGGGAGGCAGCAGUGGGGAAUAUUGCACAAUGGGCGGAAGCCUGAUGCAGCAACGCCGCGUGCGGGAUGACGGCCUUCGGGUUGUAAACCGCUUUCGCCUGUGACGAAGCGUGAGUGACGGUAAUGGGUAAAGAAGCACCGGCUAACUACGUG
This 469-nucleotide ribosomal RNA is filed under the name uncultured bacterium. RNAcentral's name for it is "partial 16S ribosomal RNA". It matches the Rfam family "Bacterial small subunit ribosomal RNA", at positions 28 to 507 of the family's 1533-position model. The record is from RNAcentral.